Molecule: unclassified non-coding RNA, 440 nt
Filed under: Trypanosoma minasense
Lineage: Eukaryota; Euglenozoa; Kinetoplastea; Trypanosomatida; Trypanosomatidae
Description: partial ITS2
Source: RNAcentral
AAAAAAAAACCGUCACGUGCACGUUGUGUGUUGUCCGUUGUGUGUAUUUAUUAUUACACACGCGUUCACACACAUGUUAUGUGUGCAUGUGUUCGGGAAAUAAAAACAAAGAGCCCUUGGGGAUUACGGAUGAAACACGCACCACACAAGCACGUGCACGCUCGUAUAUAUUUAUAUAUAUGUUCGGUUUCGUUGUUUGUAUAUAUAUAUACAUAUGUAUUGAUAUAUAUGUAUAUUGUGUGUAUAUGUGUAUGAUCCGCUCCGGCGUUCGCUUCUCUCCUUUUCCUUCUCGUUGCUUUUUCCUACUCUAUCUAUUUACUUUUUUCAAUUUUCGCUUCCCCUUUUCUUACCUUGCUUCGCUACACACAGCAUUCAUUUAUCUUCCUCCUCUUACACAUUCCUCUCUCGCCUUGUGACCCUGCGGUGCGUGCACUGUUGGG